RNAcentral lists this ribosomal RNA (444 nucleotides) under uncultured bacterium. RNAcentral describes it as "SSU rRNA". It matches the Rfam family "Bacterial small subunit ribosomal RNA", at positions 26 to 518 of the family's 1533-position model. The record is from RNAcentral.
AGAACGAACGCUGGCGGCAGGCCUAAAACAUGCAAGUCGAACGCUCUAGCAAUAGAGAGUGGCGCACGGGUGCGUAACAUGUGGGAAUAUGCCUUUUGGUACGGAAUAACUUUUGGAAACGAAAGCUAAUACCGUAUGGUCCCUUCGGGGUAAAGAUUUAUCGCCAAAAGAGUAGCCCGCACUGGAUUAGCUAGUUGGUGAGGUAAUGGCUCACCAAGGCGACGAUCCAUAGCUGGUCUGAGAGGACGAUCAGCCACACUGGGACUGAGACACGGCCCAGACUCCUACGGGAGGCAGCAGUUAGGAAUCUUGGACAAUGGACGCAAGUCUGAUCCAGCCAUGCCGCGUGAGUGAUGAAGGCCUUCGGGUUGUAAAGCUCUUAGCCGACGAAUAUAAUGACUGUAGUCGGAGAAUAAGCCCGGCUAACUUCGUGCCAGCAGCCGC